AGGAGGCUAGUCCGACAUAUAACUAGUCUGAUAUAUACAUUGGCAGUUACUAUGUUUUAAAACACUUGACAGUGGGACGGAGAAAGGUCUGUGCGUCAGGGGUAUAAUCAUGGACUACCAGUGAUCGUGAAGACCGCCUGAUACAACAGGGGUUUCGCAAGGACAAAGCGUCUGUGCAUGGGUAUAUCUACCACUGAGGUUCCUGAAUACAGUCCGGAAGUGUGGGGAAUACCACUACUUAUUCAGAGGGAGACAGAUAAGUUUCCAAAGAACACUUUAGUCAUUUAAUAAUUAGUAGAAGACCAAAUCUGGAGCACUCGCAGCAGUGUAUUAAAGGAAUAGUGGAAACAUUCGGACAGUUUGGCAACAAUAGCUAGCUUAUAUUUCAUUAGAAUUUUUUUGAAUUAACCCGGGAUUAAAUGUGAAAAGAAUACAUGUAAAAGUUUAGCGGUUUCGAAUUUGAUUGUUAUUAUUUUUUUGUUGUAAAUAGUAAGGAAGAUAUUUUUGAGUGAAUCUGCGUGCGAUAGUGAGUGUGGGAGUUUCACUAAGUUAUUUAUAUCCCCCCCCCCCCCCUUAUUUCUUGUUAAAUAAAUUUCUUUAUAAUUUUGA
Molecule: long non-coding RNA, 609 nt
Organism: Ostrea edulis (European flat oyster)
Lineage: Eukaryota; Metazoa; Mollusca; Bivalvia; Ostreida; Ostreidae
Exons: 2
Source: RefSeq, a predicted model, not a curated record